This is an RNA transcript of Rhinopithecus roxellana (golden snub-nosed monkey), 1631 nucleotides long. It is a transcript of the gene named histone deacetylase 1 pseudogene, with no coding region annotated. The record is from RefSeq and is a predicted model, not a curated record. The transcript has a single exon. Lineage: Eukaryota; Metazoa; Chordata; Mammalia; Primates; Cercopithecidae.
AUGGCACAGACGCAGGGCACCCGGAGGAAAAUCUGUUACUACUGCCACGGGGAUGUUGGAAGUCACUACUACAGACAAGGCCACCCAAUGAAGCCUCACCGAAUCCGCAUGACUCAUAAUUUGCUGCUCAACUAUGGUCUCUAGCGAAAAAUGGAAAUCUAUUGCCCUCACAAAGCCAAUGCUGAGGAGAUGACCAAGUACCAUAGCAACAACUACAUUAAAUUCUUGCGCUCCCUCGGUCCAGAUAACAUGUGGGAGUACAGCAAGCAGAUGCAGAGAUUCAAUGUUGGUGAGGACUGUCCAGUAUUCAAUGGCCUGGUUGAGUUCUGUCAGUUGUCUACUGAUGGUUCUGUGGCAAGUGCUGUGAAACUUAAUAAGCAGCAGAAGGACAUCGCUGUGAAUUGGGCUGGGGGCCUGCACCAUGCAAAGAAGUCUGAGGCAUCUGGCUUCUGUUACGUCAAUAAUACCGUCUUGGCCAUCCUGGAACUGCUAAAACAUCACCAGAGGGUGCUUAUAUUGACAUUGAUAUUCACCAUGGCGAUGGCGUGGAAGAGGCCUUCCAUACCACAGACCGGGUCAUGACUGUGCCCUUUCAUAAGUAGGGAGAGUAUGUCCCAGGAACUGGGGACCUACAGGAUAUCGGGGCUGGCAAAGGCAAGUAUUAUGCUGUUAACUACCUGCUCUGAGAUGGGAUUGAUGACGAAUCCUAUGAGGCCAUUUUCAAGCCAGUCAUGUCCAAAGUAAUGGAGAUGUUCCAGCCUAGUGCGAUGGUCUUACAGUGUCACACGCCAAGUGUGUGGAAUUUGUCAAGAGCUUUAACCUACCUAUGCUGAUGCUGGGAGGUGGUGGUUACACCAUUGGUAGUGUUGCCCAGUGCUGGACAUACUAGACAGCUGUGGCCCUGGAUACGGAGAUCCCUAAUGAGCUUCCAUACAACGACUACUUUGAAUACUUUGGACCAGAUUUCAAGCUCCACAUCAGUCCUUCCAAUAUGACUAACCAGAACACGAAUGAGUACCUGGAGAAGAUCAAACAGCGACUGUUUGAGAACGUUAGAAUGCUACCGCACGCACCUGGGGUCCAAAUGCAGGCGAUUCCUGAGGACGCCAUCCCUGAGGAGAGUGGCAAUGAGGACGAAGAAGACCCUGACAAGCGCAUCUGGAUCUGCUCCUCUGACAAACGAAUUGCCUGUGAGGAAGAGUUCUCCGAUUCUGAAGAGGAAGGAGAGGGGGGCCACAAGAACUCUUCCAACUUCAAAAAAGCCAAGAGAGUCAAAACAGAGGAUGAAAAAGAGAAAGACCCAGAGGAGAAGAAAGAAGUCACAGAAGAGGAGAAAACCAAGGAGGAAAAUCCAGAAGCCAAAGGGGUCAAGGAGGAGGUCAAGUUGGCCUGAACAGACCUCUCCAGCUGUGGCUUCCUGCUGAGUCCCUCAUCUUUCUUCCCCAACCCCUCAGAUUUUAUAUCUUCUAUUUCUCUGUGUAUUUAUAUAAAAAUUUAUUAAAUAUAAAUAUCCCCAGGGACAGAAACCAAGGCCCUGAGCCCAGGGCAGCUGUGCUGGGUGAGCUCUUCCAGGGGCCGCGUUGCCACCCAUUCUUCCCCAGUUCUUAACUUUGAACCAUAAAGGGUGCCAG